This 102-nucleotide non-coding RNA is filed under the name Bacillus sp. (in: firmicutes). RNAcentral describes it as "Bacillus sp. TPP sequence". It matches the Rfam family "TPP riboswitch aptamer (THI element)". From Rfam's summary of the family: Vitamin B(1) in its active form thiamin pyrophosphate (TPP) is an essential coenzyme that is synthesised by coupling of pyrimidine and thiazole moieties in bacteria. The record is from RNAcentral. Lineage: Bacteria; Bacillati; Bacillota; Bacilli; Caryophanales; Bacillaceae.
AACCGACACUAGGGGAGCCGCGAGGCUGAGACGAAUGUAACAUUCGGACCCUUUGAACCUGAUCUGGUUAAUACCAGCGUAGGGAAGUGCGCGUUAAGAGUC